RNAcentral lists this ribosomal RNA (253 nucleotides) under uncultured bacterium. RNAcentral's name for it is "partial 16S ribosomal RNA". It matches the Rfam family "Bacterial small subunit ribosomal RNA", at positions 524 to 776 of the family's 1533-position model. The record is from RNAcentral.
UACGAAGGGUGCAAGCGUUACUCGGAAUUACUGGGCGUAAAGCGUGCGUAGGUGGUGAGUUAAGUCUGUCGUGAAAGCCCCGGGCUCAACCUGGGAAUGGCGAUGGAUACUGGCUCGCUAGAGUGCGGUAGAGGAGAGUGGAAUUCCCGGUGUAGCAGUGAAAUGCGUAGAGAUCAGGCGGAACACCCGUAGCGAAGGCGGCCAGCUGGGCCGUCCCUGACACUGAGGCGCGAAGGCGUGGGGAGCGAACGGG